CUUAACACAUGCAAGUCGAGGGGCAGCAUGGUCUUAGCUUGCUAAGGCCGAUGGCGACCGGCGCACGGGUGAGUAACACGUAUCCAACCUGCCGUCUACUCUUGGACAGCCUUCUGAAAGGAAGAUUAAUACAAGAUGGCAUCAUGAGUCCACAUGUUCACAUGAUUAAAGGUAUUCCGGUAGACGAUGGGGAUGCGUUCCAUUAGAUAGUAGGCGGGGUAACGGCCCACCUAGUCUUCGAUGGAUAGGGGUUCUGAGAGGAAGGUCCCCCACAUUGGAACUGAGACACGGUCCAAACUCCUACGGGAGGCAGCAGUGAGGAAUAUUGGUCAAUGGGCGAGAGCCUGAACCAGCCAAGUAGCGUGAAGGAUGACUGCCCUAUGGGUUGUAAACUUCUUUUAUAAAGGAAUAAAGUCGGGUAUGCAUACCCGUUUGCAUGUACUUUAUGAAUAAGGAUCGGCUAACUCCGUGCCAGCAGCCGCGGUAAUACGGAGGAUCCGAGCGUUAUCCGGAUUUAUUGGGUUUAAAGGGAGCGUAGAUGGAUGUUUAAGUCAGUUGUGAAAGUUUGCGGCUCAACCGUAAAAUUGCAGUUGAUACUGGAUAUCUUGAGUGCAGUUGAGGCAGGCGGAAUUCGUGGUGUAGCGGUGAAAUGCUUAGAUAUCACGAAGAACUCCGAUUGCGAAGGCAGCCUGCUAAGCUGCAACUGACAUUGAGGCUCGAAAGUGUGGGUAUCAAACAGGAUUAGAUACCCUGGUAGUCCACACGGUAAACGAUGAAUACUCGCUGUUUGCGAUAUACUGCAAGCGGCCAAGCGAAAGCGUUAAGUAUUCCACCUGGGGAGUACGCCGGCAACGGUGAAACUCAAAGGAAUUGACGGGGGCCCGCACAAGCGGAGGAACAUGUGGUUUAAUUCGAUGAUACGCGAGGAACCUUACCCGGGCUUAAAUUGCAGAUGAAUUACGGUGAAAGCCGUAAGCCGCAAGGCAUCUGUGAAGGUGCUGCAUGGUUGUCGUCAGCUCGUGCCGUGAGGUGUCGGCUUAAGUGCCAUAACGAGCGCAACCCUUGUUGUCAGUUACUAACAGGUUCUGCUGAGGACUCUGACAAGACUGCCAUCGUAAGAUGUGAGGAAGGUGGGGAUGACGUCAAAUCAGCACGGCCCUUACGUCCGGGGCUACACACGUGUUACAAUGGGGGGUACAGAGGGCCGCUACCACGCGAGUGGAUGCCAAUCCCAAAAACCUCUCUCAGUUCGGACUGGAGUCUGCAACCCGACUCCACGAAGCUGGAUUCGCUAGUAAUCGCGCAUCAGCCACGGCGCGGUGAAUACGUUCCCGGGCCUUGUACACACCGCCCGUCAAGCCAUGGGAGCCGGGGGUACCUGAAGUGCGUAACCGCGAGGAGCGCCCUAGGGUAAAACUGGUGACUGGGGCUAAGUC
Molecule: ribosomal RNA, 1436 nt
Filed under: uncultured organism
Description: 16S ribosomal RNA
Rfam family: Bacterial small subunit ribosomal RNA
Source: RNAcentral